ACUCCUACGGGAGGCAGCAGUGGGGAAUUUUGCGCAAUGGGGGAAACCCUGACGCAGCAACGCCGCGUGAGUGAUGAAGGCCUUCGGGUCGUAAAGCUCUUUUAGUGGGGAAGAAGACCUCCAGGACUAAUAUUCCUGGAGUAUGACGGUACCCACAGAAAAAGUUCCGGCUAACUACGUGCCAGCAGCCGCGGUAAUACGUAGGGAGCAAGCGUUGUUCGGAAUUAUUGGGCGUAAAGAGCGCGUAGGCGGUUUAGUAAGUCCGAUGUGAAAUCCCAGAGCUUAACUCUGGAACUGCAUUGGAAACUGCUAGGCUAGAGUGCGGGAGAGGUGAGUGGAAUUCCCAGUGUAGAGGUGAAAUUCGUAGAUAUUGGGAGGAACACCGGUGGCGAAGGCGGCUCACUGGACCGCAACUGACGCUGAGGCGCGAAAGCUAGGGGAGCAAACGGGAUUAGAUACCCCGGUAGUCCUAGCCGUAAACGAUGGGCACUAGGUGUAGGAGGUAUCGACCCCUCCUGUGCCGCAGCUAACGCAUUAAGUGCCCCGCCUGGGGAGUACGGUCGCAAGACUAAAACUCAAAUGAAUUGACGG
This 591-nucleotide ribosomal RNA is filed under the name uncultured Pelobacter sp. RNAcentral's name for it is "bacterial SSU rRNA". It matches the Rfam family "Bacterial small subunit ribosomal RNA", at positions 335 to 916 of the family's 1533-position model. The record is from RNAcentral. Lineage: Bacteria; Pseudomonadati; Thermodesulfobacteriota; Desulfuromonadia; Desulfuromonadales; Desulfuromonadaceae.